UUCAUGGAGAGUUUGAUCCUGGCUCAGGACGAACGCUGGCGGCGUGCCUAAUACAUGCAAGUCGAGCGGACCGACGGGAGCUUGCUCCCUUAGGUCAGCGGCGGACGGGUGAGUAACACGUGGGUAACCUGCCUGUAAGACUGGGAUAACUCCGGGAAACCGGGGCUAAUACCGGAUGCUUGAUUGAACCGCAUGGUUCCAAUCAUAAAAGGUGGCUUUUAGCUACCACUUACAGAUGGACCCGCGGCGCAUUAGCUAGUUGGUGAGGGCUUGUCAGCCACCGCGGGGUUUACCAGACGAAUCAAAAUGAGCAGGAAGAAUCGCAUGAAGAGCCGGAAUGGUCGGGAAAGCGCGCAACAUUGAUCUUAUUUUUGGCAACUGUUGCCGUCGCCUACAUUUCCGAGCACCUCGUCCAUACGUUUGAUACGGUGGCCGAA
RNAcentral lists this ribosomal RNA (437 nucleotides) under Bacillus licheniformis. RNAcentral describes it as "bacterial SSU rRNA". It matches the Rfam family "Bacterial small subunit ribosomal RNA", at positions 1 to 292 of the family's 1533-position model. Lineage: Bacteria; Bacillati; Bacillota; Bacilli; Caryophanales; Bacillaceae. The record is from RNAcentral.